UACGUAGGUGGCAAGCGUUGUCCGGAAUUAUUGGGCGUAAAGCGCGCGCAGGUGGUUCCUUAAGUCUGAUGUGAAAGCCCACGGCUCAACCGUGGAGGGUCAUUGGAAACUGGGGGACUUGAGUGCAGAAGAGGAAAGUGGAAUUCCAAGUGUAGCGGUGAAAUGCGUAGAGAUUUGGAGGAACGCCAGUGGCGAAGGCGACUUUCUGGUCUGUAACUGACACUGAGGCGCGAAAGCGUGGGGAGCAAACAGG
Molecule: ribosomal RNA, 253 nt
Filed under: uncultured bacterium
Lineage: Bacteria
Description: partial 16S ribosomal RNA
Rfam family: Bacterial small subunit ribosomal RNA
Source: RNAcentral